GGGGAUAUAGCUCAGCUGGGAGAGCGCUUCAAUGGCAUUGAAGAGGUCAUGGGUUCGAGCCCCAUUAUCUCCACCA
This 76-nucleotide transfer RNA is filed under the name Armatimonadota bacterium. RNAcentral's name for it is "tRNA-Ala". It matches the Rfam family "tRNA". From Rfam's summary of the family: Transfer RNA (tRNA) molecules are approximately 80 nucleotides in length. Their secondary structure includes four short double-helical elements and three loops (D, anti-codon, and T loops). Further hydrogen bonds mediate the characteristic L-shaped molecular structure. tRNAs have two regions of fundamental functional importance: the anti-codon, which is responsible for specific mRNA codon recognition, and the 3' end, to which the tRNAs corresponding amino acid is attached (by aminoacyl-tRNA synthetases). tRNAs cope with the degeneracy of the genetic code in two manners: having more than one tRNA (with a specific anti-codon) for a particular amino acid; and 'wobble' base-pairing, i.e. permitting non-standard base-pairing at the 3rd anti-codon position. Lineage: Bacteria; Bacillati; Armatimonadota. The record is from RNAcentral.